GAUGAACGCUGGCGGCGUGCCUAAUACAUGCAAGUCGAGCGAACAGACGAGGAGCUUGCUCCUCUGACGUUAGCGGCAGACGGGUGAGUAACACGUGGAUAACCUACCUAUAAGACUGGGAUAACUUCGGGAAACCGAAGCUAAUACCGGAUAAUAUAUUGAACCGCAUGGUUCAAUAGUGAAAGACGGUUUUGCUGUCACUUAUAGAUGGAUCCGCGCCGCAUUAGCUAGUUGGUAAGGUAACGGCUUACCAAGGCGACGAUGCGUAGCCGACCUGAGAGGGUGAUCGGCCACACUGGAACUGAGGCACGGUCCAGACUCCUACGGGAGGCAGCAGUAGGGAAUCUUCCGCAAUGGGCGAAAGCCUGACGGAGCAACGCCGCGUGAGUGAUGAAGGUCUUCGGAUCGUAAAACUCUGUUAUUAGGGAAGAACAAAUGUGUAAGUAACUAUGCACGUCUUGACGGUACCUAAUCAGAAAGCCACGGCUAACUACGUG
RNAcentral lists this ribosomal RNA (497 nucleotides) under uncultured bacterium. Its description in RNAcentral is "partial 16S ribosomal RNA". It matches the Rfam family "Bacterial small subunit ribosomal RNA", at positions 28 to 507 of the family's 1533-position model. The record is from RNAcentral.